GCCAGCGACAAUACCACGUUGAAUGUACGUAGUACGCACCAGUUCUCCACGGAUCACAGAAGUUAACCAACGUUGCGCGUGAUUGGUAGUCGGAUGGGUGACCAUCCAGGCCAUUGUGUGCUGCUGACU
This 129-nucleotide ribosomal RNA is filed under the name Diaphorina citri (Asian citrus psyllid). The record is from RNAcentral. Lineage: Eukaryota; Metazoa; Arthropoda; Insecta; Hemiptera; Psyllidae.